Molecule: transfer RNA, 75 nt
Filed under: Microcoleus sp.
Lineage: Bacteria; Bacillati; Cyanobacteriota; Cyanophyceae; Oscillatoriales; Microcoleaceae
Also listed under: 13 other names
Description: tRNA-Lys
Rfam family: tRNA
About the family: Transfer RNA (tRNA) molecules are approximately 80 nucleotides in length. Their secondary structure includes four short double-helical elements and three loops (D, anti-codon, and T loops).
Source: RNAcentral
GGGUCGUUGGCAGAAUGGUUUUGCAGCCGCCUUUUAAGCGGAUGGAUCGAGGUUCAAUUCCUUGGCGACCUACCA